Pelobates cultripes (western spadefoot toad) is the source of this 517-nucleotide non-coding RNA. NCBI's taxonomy places the organism in Eukaryota, Metazoa, Chordata, Amphibia, Anura, Pelobatidae. The record is from the annotation of a GenBank genome assembly.
GGGGGCAGCCCUGGAGAAGGCCUGCAGGAUAGAACAGGAUAGUAACAGGUUGCUGGGGGAGUGAAGAAGCUAAUGAAAGAAAAGAGGAGGUAUAUGUGGGGGCACAGUUAUGGAAAGCAUUGUAGGUAAGCAUGAUCACCAAAUCCAAAUUAAACAGGAAGUCAGAGUAGAGGCUGACAGAGAGGUGAGGUGUGAGAGUAAGGUGUAUAAGUCCCUUACUGACACAAGAUGAUACCAAGGAGCUUGUCCAUGCUCUAGUAAUUUCCUGUGAGAAGUUGGCAGUACGGGUGCGAGCAGCGGACAGGAGAAGGUCAUGGGCAGAGCGGAGAGACUGAGAAGGGAUUAUUGUAACCCUCUCCUGAUUGGUCUUCUCAAAAGCCGUAUUGCCCCGCUACAGUCUGCAAUGAAUGCUGCCGCCAGACUGAUUUUCCUCUCUAGUCGGUCCUCUCACACCUUACCCCUUUGUCAGUCCUUACAAUAGCUUCUUCUAUCAUAUAUGAGUCAAUUCAAAGUGCUA